GUGCUCACUUCGGCAACACAUAUACUAAAAUUAGAACAAUACAGAGAAGAUUAGCAUGGCCCCUGUGCAAGGAUGACACACAAAUUCAUGAAGCGUUCCAUAUUUUU
Molecule: small nuclear RNA, 107 nt
Filed under: Balaenoptera musculus (blue whale)
Lineage: Eukaryota; Metazoa; Chordata; Mammalia; Artiodactyla; Balaenopteridae
Source: RNAcentral